This 1522-nucleotide ribosomal RNA is filed under the name metagenome. RNAcentral describes it as "bacterial SSU rRNA". It matches the Rfam family "Bacterial small subunit ribosomal RNA". The record is from RNAcentral.
AGAGUUUGAUCAUGGCUCAGAUUGAACGCUGGCGGCAGGCCUAACACAUGCAAGUCGAACGGUAACAGGAAGCAGCUUGCUGCUUCGCUGACGAGUGGCGGACGGGUGAGUAAUGUCUGGGAAGCUGCCUGAUGGAGGGGGAUAACUACUGGAAACGGUAGCUAAUACCGCAUAAUGUCGCAAGACCAAAGAGGGGGACCUUCGGGCCUCUUGCCAUCGGAUGUGCCCAGAUGGGAUUAGCUUGUUGGUGGGGUAACGGCUCACCAAGGCGACGAUCCCUAGCUGGUCUGAGAGGAUGACCAGCCACACUGGAACUGAGACACGGUCCAGACUCCUACGGGAGGCAGCAGUGGGGAAUAUUGCACAAUGGGCGCAAGCCUGAUGCAGCCAUGCCGCGUGUAUGAAGAAGGCCUUCGGGUUGUAAAGUACUUUCAGCGGGGAGGAAGGGAGUAAAGUUAAUACCUUUGCUCAUUGACGUUACCCGCAGAAGAAGCACCGGCUAACUCCGUGCCAGCAGCCGCGGUAAUACGGAGGGUGCAAGCGUUAAUCGGAAUUACUGGGCGUAAAGCGCACGCAGGCGGUUUGUUAAGUCAGAUGUGAAAUCCCCGGGCUCAACCUGGGAACUGCAUCUGAUACUGGCAAGCUUGAGUCUCGUAGAGGGGGGUAGAAUUCCAGGUGUAGCGGUGAAAUGCGUAGAGAUCUGGAGGAAUACCGGUGGCGAAGGCGGCCCCCUGGACGAAGACUGACGCUCAGGUGCGAAAGCGUGGGGAGCAAACAGGAUUAGAUACCCUGGUAGUCCACGCCGUAAACGAUGUCGACUUGGAGGUUGUGCCCUUGAGGCGUGGCUUCCGGAGCUAACGCGUUAAGUCGACCGCCUGGGGAGUACGGCCGCAAGGUUAAAACUCAAAUGAAUUGACGGGGGCCCGCACAAGCGGUGGAGCAUGUGGUUUAAUUCGAUGCAACGCGAAGAACCUUACCUGGUCUUGACAUCCACGGAAGUUUUCAGAGAUGAGAAUGUGCCUUCGGGAACCGUGAGACAGGUGCUGCAUGGCUGUCGUCAGCUCGUGUUGUGAAAUGUUGGGUUAAGUCCCGCAACGAGCGCAACCCUUAUCCUUUGUUGCCAGCGGUCCGGCCGGGAACUCAAAGGAGACUGCCAGUGAUAAACUGGAGGAAGGUGGGGAUGACGUCAAGUCAUCAUGGCCCUUACGACCAGGGCUACACACGUGCUACAAUGGCGCAUACAAAGAGAAGCGACCUCGCGAGAGCAAGCGGACCUCAUAAAGUGCGUCGUAGUCCGGAUUGGAGUCUGCAACUCGACUCCAUGAAGUCGGAAUCGCUAGUAAUCGUGGAUCAGAAUGCCACGGUGAAUACGUUCCCGGGCCUUGUACACACCGCCCGUCACACCAUGGGAGUGGGUUGCAAAAGAAGUAGGUAGCUUAACCUUCGGGAGGGCGCUUACCACUUUGUGAUUCAUGACUGGGGUGAAGUCGGAACAAGGUAACCGUAGGGGAACCUGCGGUUG